GACGAACGCUGGCGGCGUGCUUAACACAUGCAAGUCGAACGGAAAGGCCCUGCUUGCAGGGUACUCGAGUGGCGAACGGGUGAGUAACACGUGGGUGAUCUGCCCUGCACCUCGGGAUAAGCCUGGGAAACUGGGUCUAAUACCGGAUAGGAGCCAUUUUGAGUGAGAUGGGUGGAAAGUUUUUUCGGUGUAGGAUGAGCUGGCGGCCUGUCCGCUUGUUGGUGGGGUAAUGGCCUACCAAGGCGGGGACGGGUAGCCGGCCCGGGGGGGUGGGCGGCCACAUUGGGACUGAGCUACGGCCCAGACUCCUACGGGAGGCAGCAGUGGGGAAUAUUGCACAAUGGGCGCAAGCCUGAUGCAGCGACACCGCGGGGGGGAUGACGGCCUUCGGGUUGUAAACUCCUUUCGCUAGGGACGAAGCUUUUUGUGACGGUACCUAGAUAAGAAGCACCGGCUAACUACGUG
RNAcentral lists this ribosomal RNA (465 nucleotides) under uncultured bacterium. Its description in RNAcentral is "partial 16S ribosomal RNA". It matches the Rfam family "Bacterial small subunit ribosomal RNA", at positions 28 to 507 of the family's 1533-position model. The record is from RNAcentral.